Long non-coding RNA from Rana temporaria (common frog), 1666 nucleotides. RefSeq lists it as uncharacterized. Lineage: Eukaryota; Metazoa; Chordata; Amphibia; Anura; Ranidae. The transcript is spliced from 2 exons. The record is from RefSeq and is a predicted model, not a curated record.
GGUUGGGAAGGACAAUCGGGACAAUAAACUGUGGUGUCUCUUCUGACACACCCGGCAUCUCUUCUGGCGUUUGUGCCCAUUUUCAAGCACCUUACUGGAUGGGACGCCCGUGGAGCGCACACGUCACUUCUGGAUCGCCGCCCUCAGGGCGGGACAACAGCGGCGAUCCGGAAGUGACGUGUGCCCUCCAUGUGUGCGCUCCACGGGCGUCCCAUCCAGUAAGGUGCUUAGCGUUUUUGUACUGCUACUAUCCUCUGGGGAAUCGGACACCAGUCGGAAGACACUGCCACUUUCGUACCAUGCUUGUUUACAUCUACUAAACGGUACGUGCAUUCGGAGCGGGGGUCGUUUUAUGUGAAGGGAUUGUUUCUUUUUAAGAAUAAUAAACGAGUUUACACUAUGUCUGGUACCCUUUUGUGUUUUUAUGUGGAGCUCUGCCUGCAUUGACCCCAACUUGAGAACGGAUGAUCCAGUGCAAAGAUACCCUUUACUGCCUAUAAUCUAUCAUUCUGGUGAGUGAGUACCCCUAAGGGGAGUGUGCCCCACGCGUGGUGACUUUUCUGGGAAAAGGUGUAGGAUUACUAUAGCCUGUCUUCACUUAUAAGAUCUUCAAAUCCGUCACCAGAUGAAUGCUACAUAUGAAAUUGGACAUUAUCAACCAAUAAUCAAGCGCUGUUUUUCCAUUUUGGACUAUUUUUGUUCUUUUAUUUUGAUUUUUUUAUAUAUGUUUUGCUGCAUGUGUCUUUGACAGUGCGUUUAAAUAGCUGCUCUCACACAAUUACCUGUUUUGUUCUUUGGAUAGAAUAUGGUAACAUAUCCAUGGUUCUAAUUGUACUGUUGAGUCACUAAGAUAAUUUCGGUUAUCCGAUACGACCACUAAUAUUGAUUGGUUGUCUUAAUCAAUAUAUCAUUAAUUACUUCGCACCAAGGCGCUGAGUUGUGCCACUAGGCCUGGUGUUGCACUUUUAUUUUAGUUAUAGAAGGCCAAACUGAAAAAAUAAAUGUACACUUUUUUGUACCAGUGACGGGAUUUUCUUGAGGGAAGGUAGGAUUCAAUCAUCUGAUCGUUGAAGUACACUCCUCCCAUAAACAAAUUGUAAUCGUAGACACAAGAUGGUUUCUGGACUGGGCCUUUUCUUUUGGGGACUUCCACGUAGGUGUUGUCGUGGAUGGUGGUGAGCAUGUGGACGUCUCGUUUGUCCCUCCACUUGACAGCCAAUAGCUCCUGGUUCCGCAAAGAUGACGUCUCUCCUCGUCUUAGCUUCUGAUUGACCAAUUUUUGUGGGAAGCCCUUUCUGUUGGUUCUUACUGUGCCACAUGCUGGGGUGUCUCUCCGGUGUAGAUUGUGAAACGGGCAAGCUGGUAUAAAAAUUGUCCACAUAAAAGUGGUAUCCCUUUCCAAGGAGCGGAUAGAUAAGCUCCCAGACCACUUUUCCACUGCUUCCAAUAUACUCUGGGCAUUCGGGGGGGAUGCAGUUGGGAGUCCUUCCCUUCAUAUACAAGGAAAGAGUAGAUGUACCCCAUGUCUCGGUCGCACAGUUUGUACAUUUUCACCCCAUAUCGGGCCCUUUUGCUGGGGAUGAACUGUUUGAUGCCCAGCCUGCCGGAGAAUUUCACAAGGGACUCAACUAUGGAUAUAUUCUGUUCAGGGGUAUAUAACGGGGAA